This 183-nucleotide long non-coding RNA is filed under the name Polistes fuscatus (common paper wasp). RNAcentral describes it as "uncharacterized LOC122516935". Lineage: Eukaryota; Metazoa; Arthropoda; Insecta; Hymenoptera; Vespidae. The record is from RNAcentral.
UAAAAAGUUGUAAGCCUCAACGAAAAAUUAUUUUUCGUUUUGUUUUAAUAAAAGAGCAAGUUUGACCGGAAAAAUAUGGUUUCUCUUCUUCAGGCUAACAACUUUUCAACUUACCCAUGCAGAAAACAAUGACGAUAAUGCAAUCUUCGUAACGAUCGUACGUUUAAUCGUGUGUUUUGCAAA